CUCUGUUUCAGUACAUGAUUCAGGGCAAAGGAG
RNAcentral lists this non-coding RNA (33 nucleotides) under unclassified sequences. Its description in RNAcentral is "L31-Firmicutes ribosomal protein leader". It matches the Rfam family "L31-Firmicutes ribosomal protein leader". The record is from RNAcentral.